GGCCGCGCUGCUGGGCUGCGGCCGCGCCGCCGCCCCUUCGCCCUUCUCGUCCUCGUCCUGUCACCACCGCGUGCCCAGCGGCGAAGAGGCUGUCUAUCGAGUUCCUCUAAAGGAAAACCGCGUCUUGAAGAGAAAUGUGGAUCAGCAGCUGAGAAUUAAGAUUAUAUACGACACAAGUGUUGAGGAGUGAGUGUCAUUUGUGGCAACUUUUUCCCCCCCACAUGAGAGUGGAAAUCCUGUUAAUUGAAGCUUGUUCCUUUUGUUUUGUUUGCCAAAUACAGUUUGCUACCUGAGAAAAGUCACCUUAUAAAGGUGAUGCAGAAGCCCUGCAGAAAACAGAGAGCUCUAUUGCAAGUAGUGAGCUCCAGGAGGGAGCUGCCUCUGCAGUGAAUGUGGC
This is a long non-coding RNA of Colius striatus (speckled mousebird), 397 nucleotides long. RefSeq lists it as uncharacterized. NCBI's taxonomy places the organism in Eukaryota, Metazoa, Chordata, Aves, Coliiformes, Coliidae. The transcript has 3 exons. The record is from RefSeq and is a predicted model, not a curated record.